This is a long non-coding RNA of Uranotaenia lowii, 481 nucleotides long. RefSeq lists it as uncharacterized. The transcript is spliced from 3 exons. The record is from RefSeq and is a predicted model, not a curated record. Lineage: Eukaryota; Metazoa; Arthropoda; Insecta; Diptera; Culicidae.
AGCCAUCUUCGCAAGAGAUCUUGUUUGUUUUCAUUUUGGCUGUGCUAAAAAUUAAACAAUUUGUUUCCAAGCAGCUGUUUCAGUUUAUAAAUUUACAACUUUAGAUAAGGAUUAUAAGGUAAUUUAAUUAACUCGAAGAGUCAGUACGCUACAGUCUAAAUGCAAGAGGAACCGGAUCAGGAGCUUCCGCUGAGUGAUCUGCAGGAAACGACAACAGCAUCAGCGGUAAGUAAUGAUAAUACGAGCGCUUCCCUUUGAUCAGCGGGUGUUCCGACUUGAAAAGCUGCGAUCAGAAACCACUGGAGGAGCGGAUACAGGAUUGGUUGCUGUACAGUCACCGGGGAAGAGGCAGCAGCGCUUGCGAAAGUGAUAGCAUCUGACCAGUGCCGCAAAUGCAACAAAAUUCAUUGCCAGCAUCCCAUAGUGCAGAUGUCGGUGAAGUCAACCAGACAAAAUGUUUAUGUUUUUUAUUUAUUUUUAA